Molecule: long non-coding RNA, 26357 nt
Filed under: Gossypium barbadense (sea-island cotton)
Lineage: Eukaryota; Viridiplantae; Streptophyta; Magnoliopsida; Malvales; Malvaceae
Description: long non-coding RNA (GBAR_LNC013025)
Source: RNAcentral
GGUGGCUGAUAAUCGAUUGGCUCGGGUAUUUAGAGUGGGUUUCGGUUUGGGAGCUUGAUUGUGGUGUUAAUGGUGGUUAGUCCUUGGUUGCUUGGUUGCUUGCCGGAUAUUGGAGUUUUUUCUUGCUUAGAUUGUUGAAUGCUCCUUUUUUGUUGUUUUUUUUUGCUGGAAAAUUUUUUUGCUGAAUAAUUUUUUUUUUGCUCUUUUUUCUCAAAUGGGGAAUCCUCCUCUUUUUUGUGUUGUUUUUUUUUAUUUCUCCCAUUUUGCUUGUUUUUAUGCUAUUUGCAGGUAGUGGGUGAAGAAGGAGCAGCCACCCAUGUUUGUGGCCUGAAAAUUGGGAAGUGGGUACCCUAAAUCACGUAAUCUGUCUGAAGGAUCAAAUCACAAAUGUAGCAAAAAUUUUGGGGCUAAAUGUAAUUUUUAGAAAAUUUAAGGUUAAAAUGCAAUUUAAGGAAAGUUUAGGAGUCUAAGUGAAAUUUAAAGAAAGUUUAAGGGUCAAAAUGAAAUUUAGGAAAAAUUUAGGGGUCAAAAUGUAAUUUUUAUUUUUUGAAUUUUUUUAUUUUUAUUUUUAUUUUUUAAAAAUUUUGAAAAUUAAACAACAAACUCUAGUCAGACAAAAAUUUAGUGUUUACACCUCAAACCAAAUAAUAAAAACCCAAUAAUUAAUUAAAUGUUCAAAGUCCAGAUUACAUGACCCAAGAUCCAUUUACAAAUUAAAGCCCAACUACCCUGGCCCAAGAACAAAAAAUUAGUAUAGAAACCCUAGCGCCGCAACCAAGCCGCUCAGUGCCGUACGCUCCGUACCACCCCUGCACGCCUCUGUGCGCCACCCUCAUGCCUCCAUGUCACCCCGUACCUGCAAACAAAAACAAGCAAACGACAGCAGGACAACAACAAAUAGGAAAAAUGAAGAAAAAUUGUAUUUUGAUUUAUUCUUUUUCAGUUUCGGCUACAAAAGCAAGAACAGAGCGAUUGUAAGGGGCUCUCUUUCUCUUUUUUUUUUACACAUAUAUGCAUAUUGAAUAGAAGAGCAAUAAAAAAAUUGAAAGGUGAUUUUAAGCACCUUAUAUUUCUGUGUUUCGAAUCUAUUUCAUUUUUUUCUUUUCGUUUUGUUUUUUAGUAUAACGAAAUAAAAUAGUAAUCUCACCUUGCGAAUAAGCCACUGGUUCUCAAUUGCUUCGUUCAAAUCGAAGUCAAGAAAGGAUUUUCAGGCUGAAAAUAGAUUCGCCGGAGCCCUCAAAACCACCGGUCACCGUUCUUGGUGGUGGAUCAGUGAUGGGGUUAAAAAAAUGGGGCUAGGGUCUGCUGGUAAAGAUGAAAGGAGGCUAGGGUUCGGUAGAAUGGGCUAAAUUGGAGCUUUUAUAAGCAACAUAGAACGGCGCCGUAUAGGGAGUAAGGGGCGCCGUAUAGGGAGUAAGGGAACCCGCGCGUCGACCCGACCCGUAGUAGGAUCCGCGCCCUUUUGCUCAAAAGGGAAAUUUGCGCGAUCAACCCUUCCCUUUUGUGCCACGUCUCAUUGGACUCCAAUUGGCCUCCUAUCCUUUUUUAAUUUUUUCCAAAAGCUUAUGCGCUAUUGCAUUUUAGUCCUUGUUUGUGCACUGCGUUUUGAGGGUCUGGUAUAUUUCCAAUUUAAGUCCCUCUGCGUUCGCGCGCACUGCACUUCGGUCCCUAUUUCGUUUUCAAUUACUUGUUUUAUUUAUUAAUUAAUCCUUUCAGUUUGUAUUUAGCUCACUUGAGUUUGUUUAUUUUAGUUAUGUAAUUUUUCGUUUUUUUUAUUCUUAUUUUUCAUUUCAAUUUUUUUAACCUUUCUAACAUAUGGUUUUAAAUUGUGUUAUCAAAUUUACUUUAUGUUCGUAUGUUAUUUUUAUACUUACGUUUGGAUAUAUGCUUUAUUUGUUUUACUAUAUGCCUAUUUAUUCUAAAGUUCUCUUCCAUCCUCCGUUGUUAAAUUUUUUUAUGUUAUUCAUCUAAAUACUCUUAUACAUUAGUAUUCUUAUAUAUAUUAUUUACGUUAAACUAUUUUUUUAAAUCUAUGUGUAUUAUUUAUUUAAACUAAUGUAUAGUAUUUCGUAUAUGCUUACUCUAAUCUUCUUCUUUUGAUAUUUAUUUUAAAAAUCCAUUUUUACAUUACUAAUUUGUAUACUGUUUAUUUUAGCUAUUUCAUCUUUUUGGUUUAUCUCAAACUUUCAUGCAUAUUACUUAUUUUAAAAUUAUAUAAAUUAAUCUUAAAUUAUUUUAUUUUAUUUUUUUUAUGUGUAUAUUGUUUCAUUAUAUAUUGAUUUGUUAUUCUGUCAUGUAUAUCGUUUAUUCUUUAUUUUUAUCAUAUCUUCAUUAUAUAUUGUUUUCAUGAUUUUUAUUAUUGUAUGCAUAUCAUCACCUUUAAGUAAAUAUAUUUUGUUUUUAAAAAAUAUUGUUGUAUGUUAUUUGCUCCAAAUCUCUUCUUUCACAAUGUUUAUUUCAAUAUUAUUUAUUAGUGUUAUUUUUAUAUAUAUGCAAAUCAUUUCAAACCCUUUUAUAUGUUGCUCAUUUGUAAUUUUUCAUAUUAAAUAGUUUUCAAAUUGUUUCCAUAUUGUUUUGUAUAUUAUUUAUAUUAUUUUGUUAUAAAUUUGUUUUCAUACUUAUAUAUACGUAAAUGUUUCCUAUAUUAUCAGCUUUGAAUGGUUGAACAUUAUGUUUUUACAUGCAUUGUUGAUCUUCUAUUGUUUUAUAUAUUUUCCUUUAAAUCUAUUUCAUUGUAUAUUUCCUUUUAAAUCAAUUUUUCAUAUAUAUAUAUAUGUACAUAUAUAUAUUUAAAAAAAAAUCUAUUAUGUAUAUAGUUCACUACAUAAGAACAUAUUUUAUUAUAUAUUCUUUUGUUAUUCAAGAACCUUUCAUGUUUUGUAUAUUAUUUAAGUUUUCUUUCAUUUUGUAUGUAUAUUAUCGAUUUAAAAUAGAUGUAUUAUUUUGCAUGCUAUUCGAUUCAAAAUCAUUUUUUAAUAAUUAUUUAUACAGUAUUCUUAUCCAUGUAAAUUAUUUCAAAUUCGAGCAUGUAGUAUUCGUUCAUCGAUUCAUCAUCUUUUUAAUUGUUUUGUAUCAUAUUGGUUUUAUUUUGUUUGGUACAUUAUGUGGUAAUUGUUUCAUAUUAUUUCAUGUAUAUUGGUUGCACAUCAUUAAUUCGCCUUCUUAUGUAUUAGUAUAUCAAUCGCUGUUUACCCAUGCUUGUAAAUUUUGUUGUUUUAAAUUAGUUGUUUAUUUGAUUUGAUUGGUUAAAUAAGAUUAUGUUGUCUUCAUUUACCAAGUGUCAUAACUUAUGUGUAUAUUAUCCCAUAUCAUUGUUUUCCACUUGGUUUGCGAAAUGUGGUUUUAUAAGGUCCAAAUCUUUAAGAUCAAUUUCGUUUUAUUUUAAGUCGCAUUAACUCGUUUUAAGCUACUUUUACAAUUAUUCAUUUAAAAAUUCUUUAAAACGAAGGCAAUACUCGAUGUUUGGCAAUUCGAGAAUCGUGCCUUAUCGUGUUGGGUUGCGAUUUUCCAUUUGUUCAAAACAAUCGAAUACUCCUUUGGAAUUUCGCUUAUGUCUUUAAAAAUUCUUCAAAACGAAGGUAAUGUUCGAUGUUUGGCAAUUCGGGGAAUCGUGCCCUAUCGUGCUGGGUUGCGAUUUCCUGUUUGUUCAAAACAAUCGAAUAUUCCUUUAGAAUUCCACUCAUGCUCUCUAAAUUCUAAAACAAGACAAUGUCCGAUGUUUGGAAAUUCAAGGAAUCGUGCCUACUGUACUGGGUUUUGGUUUUUCGUUGGACUAAAUAAUUGGGCAUCCUUUUGUAAUUCUCAAAUUAUAAACUUUUGAAAGUCAAAAUUGAUCGUGGUUCCGAGGGUAUAAAGGAUCGUGUCCUAUCGUGCUGGAUGUGAUGCUAUAUUCCUCUGAAACAAGAUGACUUUGACGACCAACUCGGGUUAUUCAAAUGUUAUUAAAAGGAACCACAUUUCAAAAACAUUUUUAAAUUUCAGACAUAAGGACAAUAUUUAAUCGAUUUGGUACCAAUUUUGGGCGUAAUAAGGGUGCUAAUCCUUCCUCAUAUGUAACCGACUCCCGAACCCAUUUUUUCAUAUUUACGUAGGCCAAAAUCGUUGUUUUAGUAAAAAAAAUAUUUUAUUAAAAUAACCAAAUCCUUAGGUGACCCGAUCACACCUAAACAAAAAAGAUUGGUGGCGACUCCAUAUUUCAUUUUUCAAAAAGUCGAUCGUCCUUUUUAAGACCUAAAAAGGGUGGUUUCGACAAUAGUAAUACGAUUCAAGAAUGCAAAUCCCAAAUGUAGGACUCAAUUUAUUAUUUCUAACAUUAAUUUUAAGACAAAAUUCGGCUUUUACUUAUCCAUAUGGGCAUGGUUUUAAUUAGAAAUCGGCAGUGAGAGGGAAGCAAAGGCUUGGAGCUGCUCGCCGGAGUCGAUCUGCUUUCCUGGAUCGGAGAAGGCAAAGAGGAAGAAGUCCAUGAAAUCAAAGUCCUUGUAAAGCUGAGGAUGUUGCUCAUCUAUAAGUUCUUUGGGUGCUUUAAUUAUGGUACCCUCAACUGGAAUGGCAAAGGCUGCUAUAGAAAAUCGAUCUUUAUCUCCACUCAUCAUUACUCUGUGAUUCACCGCUUUUAAUCUCCCAUUACUCCAUGCCUUCAACUUUUAAAAAUCAACAUCACUAAAUGUUUUAUGAUAAUUAUUCUCAUUCAAUCAUACUCCAUGCCUUGUAUUUCAUGUUCUAUUUAAUAGAUCAUGCAUACUUGUUAUGUUUGAGUAAAUUAAAAAUUGAACAUUAACCGUAUAUAUAUACAUCUUGAGAGGAUCUCCAACCACAAAGCAAAAGGAAGAAGGAGAUAAGGACAACUUGAUCCAUUUGCCAUCACUAACCUCAAUUUCUAGCCCUGAAACUUGAUCAUCACAAAUGAUUGUACUGACAGGUUUAUCAGUAUGAGCAAAGAGUCCUCUCUCAUACUCUCUCGGUGGAGGGGUCAUGUAUUUCAUAAACCGCACAAGUGUUUUGUAGUUUAUCAUCACUGACUCCCAUUUCUCUCCUAAUCCAUAACUAUCAAUUAUCAUUAACCAAAUUAACUUGUUAAGCUCCUCUAUUUGUGUCGACAUGGUAUGGACUGUGUUGCUGGAAUAAAAGAUCAAAAUAAAAUGACAAUAACUCUAAUAACUCUAAUUUGCAUAUAAUAAAAAAAAUUUGGAAAAAGAAAACAACAACAUUGGCCACAUGAUGAAAUAAUAAUAAAAAAUGAACUAUAAAACGAAGGAGGUGCAAUGGUGAAAGAAAAAAAAACCAAUAUCUUCAUUUUCAAUUUCGGCAACAUGAAAAAAUAUAUCAGUAAUUCAAUUCUGCCUGUUUUUAGUCUUGUAGAUGAUUAGAAAUUAGAAAUUAGAGGUGUUUAAGGGUGAAAGAAAAUUUUUAAGGCCGGCUCACCUCGUUAAAAUUAACCGAUUUACUAUUUUAAAAUAAUAAAAUAUUAAAAAUUCCUAUAUUGAUAUUGAUAUUUAUAUAUUUUUAUUAUUAAAAUUUUAAAUUUAUUUAAUUUAAAUAAAGGCUUAUUUGAGGACAAAAAUUUCUUGCACUUGGGUAGAGUCAAGCCUAUGUUUUAUUAAAUAUAUAUUUUUCUUUUACAUUAAUGUAUACUGUUAACUAAUAAGAUUCUUUUACAUUAAUAUAUACUGUUAACCAAUAAGAUUAAUAAGGAAGAGAAGAAGGUUAAUUUCGUGGUGAUUCACUUUUAGUUGUGACGAAGAGUCACCGAAUAUUCAGCUGGGUAAAGAUAAUUCUGGUGGUAUGCUCAGGUAGAAAGAGAAUGAGGGUGGAAGAAGGAUGGUUUUUCAGUCUUGGUCUCUCUCAAGUGUUGUGCUGAGUUAAUAUAUUGGAGGACAAAGAUGUCAACGCGCCUUGAGCUUAUUGACAAUGGAGUUACACUUUGUUCUCUUAUGGUGAUAAUGAUGUGACGUUCUAGUAUAUGACCCCUUAAGGCAGUUGAGUAAUCAAUAAGUCUGAAUCCUCAUGUGCGUUUCAUGCAAAUCUAGUGAGAGUAAUCUUAUGAAGGUUCACCAUUUUAUCAUGGUCUGAAGUUUUCCAAACUCGCCCAAUUGGAGAUUCCCUCAAUAUAGACACACGGAGGGACACAAGAAAGAAAUAUAACAUAUAUAUAAUUAAAUUAAAAUGUAAAUAGUUAACAUUUAAUUGCAUUAAAAAAUAUUAGAAGAGAAAGAAAAGGUAAUAAUCAAACAUAAUUAUCAUUUGAUAAUAUUUUUUUGGAAAAAUAAUUAUCAUAUGGGAGAGCAAAUAUCCCCAGGCAAUUGUGGAGAGUGACGCUAUUAGUUAAGAGUAGGUAAAAUUUGAUUCGAUUCAAAAAAAUUAAAAAACAUCGAAUUUUGAGUUAAUUGAUUUUUUCGGGUCAAAUCAAAUAAGUGAUUUGAGUUCGAGUCAAGUUGAAUUUUAUAAUUUAAAUAAGUAGAAUAAUUCAAAUAAUAGAUUAGUGUAAAUACUUCUUUGGUCCUUGUCAAUUUUGAAAAUGAACAAAUUAGUCUCUCUUUCAACAAAAAUUAAAAAAAAUCAAAAUAAUUUUUAAAAUUCAAAAAUUUAUCUUUUAAACCAUUAUAUAUAUUUUAAAAAAAAUCUAAAUAAUAUAUAAAAAAGUUAAAAUUUUACCUUUUUUCUAAAAAAAAAUCUAAAUAAGUUAAUUAAUGAUUCAAGUUUAUCAUAUUAAAAUAUCUUAUUUCCCCACCUUAUUUUGCUUUGAAAAAUUUUUAAAUAUAUAUGCUUUCAAAUUUACGUGCUCUAACAUGAAAUUAGUUAUACUGUAACAAAAUUUUAAUUUGACAUGUUUACUUUUUUUUAAUUUAAUUCGAACAAUUUUACUCGACUUAAAUUUUAUUUCAAAUCGAGUUAAGAUAAUAAAAUAAAAUUCAUCAACUCAAUUAACUUAAGAUAUUUUUACUCUGUUCAAUCUAACGUUAAUCCCUAUCUUGAGUGCUAUUAAGAACAACCCUAAGGUGGGCUAUCCAUCGGCCAUAGUUCGAAGGAUCAUGCAUGUACUCCGGUAACAAUGCGCUCGAUAUUUUGUGCUUUGUUUCCUCUCUUUAUUAUAAAAAAGAAAAAGAAAAAAAAAGAAAAAGCAAAUAUGCUCGAAAUGAAUCACCACACAUCAUCAAUCUCAGUCUUAAGACAAAAUACAAUGACGGUAUAAAAACUUCCGAUCCAAUAAUAUCACAACAAAACACCAAGCCAAAAUCAUUUGAGACGAAUCAACAAUAAUUCAGGCGAUGAGCCCAAUUUUUAAUAACGAAUAUAAAAGUUCCUGAUUUCGCUUUUUCUUACAAUUUAGACACAUUUUCUAUUUAUUUGAUAUCAUAGUUAUAGCUUCAUCAAAAAGUUGUACAUAAGAUGUCAAUUAUUGCUUCUUCUUUUACAACUUUCCCUUCCUUCUCUGCUACAUAUCUGAUUUAAUCCCAAAUCCAUAUCAACUAAGGCCCCUUUUAGACACAUAGUUUGAGAUAGUCCAUUUCGGAUCAUUUUAGAUGGUAUAGGCUAACACCUUCAUCAUCUCUUUUAUCCAACCCCAGUCCCUUGUCAUUUUCGUCUAUUGAACCCAUAUCCAGCCUAUUACAAAUAUUAUUAAAUUCGUUGAUGGCCAAAAGCCCAUUAGCCAUCAUUCACCAUUGAAUUUGAUCAUCACCACCUAACAAAGGUCUAACCUCAUUAGCUUCUUCAAUGCAAGAGAUAAAGUCAUCAUCACACUCAACAUUAAAUAUAAGUAUUGUUCCCAAAAAGCACGGUUAAAAUUCUCACGUGCACCGCCAAAAGUAUUGGGACUCACCUCAUCCCACUGUGCAGUUAAUUUGAUGUCAUCUUCUAUCAUUUUCUGAUAAAAAAAUUUCCGGCCAACCACUGCUACUCGGAUUUGCAUAACAACACCACUUAUCGGACUUUAUAGUCUUUGUUGGUUCGCCUUUGAUAAAGCAUAGGCUACUAGAGUAGUAACAUCGAUGCAAAACUGAUCGAAUAAUAAUAUCAACAUUAACAUUCUAAUCUAACCUUAAUGCAAUUCACCCAACUAAUUCGUAGUAACUUGGAACAACCAAAUUGAAGAGAAAGGGAGCAUAAUCAACUAUAGGCAAUGAAACAAUUAGAAGCUGAAACUUCAAGCAAAUUCAUCAAUCAAGGUAAUGGAACUUAUUUUUCUUAUAAAUAUAAAAAUCCACAACAAAAGUGGUUGAAUCCAUGAAUACAACAAAAAGGAGUAGAAAACCGGUCGGGUGAAAUCAAUUUUUCUUUUUGGAAUUAAGUUAUAUAUUCAGUAAAUGAUUAAAUUACAUUUUUAUUAUUUUUUAGAAUCAAAUAUAAUUUUAUCAUUAUUAAUUUAAAAUUUUAAAAAUUAUAAAAUAACUGAAAGAGAAAUAUUUAUUUUAGAGAGACUAAGGCUCACGCAAACUCUUUGGCUCCGCCCUGUAAAUAACAAUUAGGCCAACCAACAAAAUACUGGGGACACUUAUAAUGGGCAAAGGGAAACUUGCUUUUUGGGUUAAAAUUAAGUUAUAUAUUUUUAUCAAAAAGUUAAAAUGCAAUUACAUCAUUAUGUUAUCUUAUACCUUUUAAAGUUUUAAAAAGAUUAAAAGAAAAUUCAAUCACUUAAACUUAAUUCUUCAAAAAAAUAUUUAAAUAUAAAAUAUAUGAAUUUUUUUAUAUUAUGUUAUUACAUAUUUACCUUUUUAAUAGUUUAUAUAUACAAGAAUAAAUUAGUAAUUUCAUAUAGUGAAGCACGUUAAAGUGGGGCAAGCAAUUAUCAUAGUCACUCUAUACCCACUACUCAAAAGAAAAAGUCCACUCUAUGCCAUCCCAAAUCCACUUUUCAAAAGAAAAAAACCCACUCCAUUUGCAAUGGAUCGAUUUGGAAUCUAUUGGGCGGUUCGGGUUUUGCAAUCUCUAAUUAUGAAGAUAUUAUUCUUUGGCUUAAUAUAUUGAUUAAUCCCUAAAUUUGGUAACUUUUCUCAAGUUAGCCCCUAAACUUUUUUUGAGAUCAAAUAGGUCCUUAAGAUUGGCAUAUCAGUUAUACAAAUUUGACUCUAUCAUUAACACUUCUUUUUAACAAGGUUGCGUAGCCAAACAUGUAGGUGACCUGAAUAACACGUGUUGUCCUAUUUAAUUAUUUAAAAAAACAAAAAAUCCUUCUCACCAACAAAAAAGAACCCUUAAAAUUAAAAAUAUAUAUACAUUUAAAAAAAUUAAAUAUAUAUGAAUUAAAUUUAAAAAAUAUGCUAAACAAUAAAAAGUAUAGUAAAAAAUUUAGAAAAUUGUUAUGUCAACUUAAUUGUCAAAGUCAAGGGACUAAAUGUUAUAUCCACCCUUUAUCAUAAAUGUAGCUUUCAACCAUUAUAUAUUGUCGUGAAUAUAUUAUUAUUUAUUGUUAUUGACAAAUAAGCUAAAAUUUGAAUUUACUUGAAACAUCUUAAUCGAAUUAUUUAAAUGAAACAACAAUAAGAAGACAAUGAAGUUUGUGUACAAGCAAAAUUGGUUCAAUAAAAAAAGUUGUAGCUACUGAUCUAUUGUCUGCUGUCUUCUUCUGAUUUAACCUUAGUCUCUCACCUAGAAAAAAAUUUAACAAUUUUUAUAAUUCUGGUUUAACUUUUAAUUCACGUGUGAUGUUUUAAUCUAUAAGUAAUUAUGAUAACAAUUUUUUACACUUUUAAUUGAGGUAAAAAAGAUCAGUGUAAUUUAUGGCUACUAAUUAGCUCUCGAAUUUGAACUUUAAUGCGUGCAUGGCUUCAAAUCCUCAAGUUCAAUGAGUAGGCGUCUUAUUGAAUCCAUGAACUGCCAUCUUACUGAAUUCAUACACCAACAUUACUCAACACAAUAGAUUUAGUAACCUACAAUUACAUGAUUAUAACAAACUAUAACAUGCUAAUACAUCACGAGAAUGCAAAUCCCAAACAUGGGAUUCAAUUUAUUAUUUGUAACAUUAAUUUAAAACCGAAAUCGAGCUUUUACUUGUGGAUAUGAUCAUGUUCUUAAUUGGAAAUCGGUGGUGAGAGAGCAGCAAAGGCGUCGAUCUGCUGGUUGGAGUUGAACGUCUUUGCUAGGUCUGAAGCGGUAAAAAAGAAGUACUCCAUGAAAUCGAAGUCUUUGUAAAGUUGAGGAUGUUGGUCAUCUAUAAGCUCUUUGGGUGUCUUGAUUAUAGUACCCUUGUUAGGAAUGGCGAAGGCUGCUAUAGAAUAUCGAUCUUUAUCUCCACUCAUUAUCACUUUGUGCAUCCCCGAUUUCAAUCUUCCAUUACUCCAAGCCUUCAAUUUAAAAAAUCAACAUCAAUAAUUAUUCACUUUCAACAUCAAUAAUCUAAUCUCAAUAUAUCUAUAACCCAAGAUCUUAUGUCAACAUUGUAGCGACGUAAAAAUUUCUUCUUUUGGUCACUAAUUGAGGUGAUUUAUUGGAAAUUUAAAAACCGACUUUCGAUUUUAUUAAAAAAAGGAGUCGCCACCGAUCCUUUUUUCUAGGUGUGAUCGAACACCUAAUAAAUCCUCUUUUUCAAAAUAAAAUUUAUUUUUUAAACAAAAAGAAGGCCGAGUUUAGGUCUACGUUUAAAGCCAGAGAAAAAAAUAGGGUUCGGGAGUCGGUUACGCACGAGGAAGGUAUUAGCACCCUCGCGACGUCCAAAAUUAGUAUCUUAUUAAACUUGUGUUGUCUUGAUUUUCAAAAGUACAAAUUCAAUCUGACAUUUACUCGUGAUCCAAUUGAAAAAUGAGAAUUUUUAGUUUUCGAUUUUUUAGAAAGGGUGUCCCGUUUUUAACACAAGCCGAUGAAUUUCACCCAACAUAGCGAUGAAAUCGAUGGCUUAAUAUUAAAUCGGUACAUUGCCUUAUUUUUGAAAUUAAUUAAAACAUGAGAAAAAAAAUUCCUAAAGUGAGAAAUUAGAAAUAGAUAAACGAUACAAAAAAAAGAUAUCAUUAAUGAAAAAUAUUAACAUGAAAUACUAGAAUAUUAGAAUAACAAUAAUAACGAUAUUUAUAAAAAAAACAAAUCAUUUACUAAUAAUAAAAUAGGAAAAAAUGAUAUAUUUGGUAAUAAUAAUAUAAAAUAAAAAUAUGUACAUAAAAAUACAUAUAUAUAUGCAUAUAAUAAAUAUAUGUAAUAAUAAUAAUAUCUACAAUAAAAGAAAAUAUUAGGAAACGUACAUAAAAAUAUAUACAUAAAAUUUUUUUUACAACAAUAAUAUAAAAUAAUGAUAUGUACAAAAUAUAUAUAUGUACAUAAUAUAGUUAUAAAAAUAUAUAUUAAAUUCGGAAUAGGUAAAUAAUAAUAAAAAGGGUAAGAAUAUACCGAAGCCCCAAUGUUAUGGAUUACUGAAAUUAAUCUCUUUUCUUCUCGGGCUGUUGAAAUGGGCCUUUGUUGGUGAUCUUCACCGGAUCAGAUUGCCUUAAAUAGAGUCAGGUUGACCCGACCAUUUUAAAAUUUAAUAUUUUUUAUUAUUGUAGUUUUUUUAGACCAAUUUUUGUUUAGCCCAAUUACAAAUAAAAUUUACAUAAAAGAUACAAAAUCCAAAUUACUUCAACCCAACACAAACCAACCUCAGCCCACUAACUUAAUAAUCCAACACAACCAACCCAACCCACUAACUUAACAUAUCACCCAACCCACUAAUUAACCCAAACUAAAUUUAACCCAUCAAACCUUACAUAAACCAACCCAUUAACUAAAAUAUUUCUUUUUUUUAAUACUAAACCCCCCCCCCCAAAACAAACAAGUUCCAGCAGCAAACAAAGAAAAUCCAAACUUCAAGCUGCCUAUUCUCCCUCUCCUUCCACCGUGCGCGUCACCAGCAGCCACCGUAUGCACCACAUGAAAUCAGGCUACGGGUAGUUAAGGUUUGGGUUUUGGGGUGGCUGAUAAUCGAUUGGCUCGGGUAUUUAGAGUGGGUUCCGGUUUGUGAGCUUGGUUGUGGUGUUAAUGGUGGUUAGUCCUUGGUUGCUUGGUUGCUUGCCGGAUAUUGGAGUUUUUUCUUGCUUAGAUUGUUGAAUGUUCCUUUUUGUUGUUUUUUUUUUGCUGGAAAAUUUUUUUGCUGAAAUUUUUUUUUUGCUAUUUUUUCUCAAAUGGGAGAAUCCUCCUCUUUUUUAUGUGGUUUUUUUUAUUUCUCCCAUUUUGCUUGUUUUUAUGCUAUUUGCAGGUAGUGGGUGAAGAAGGAGCAGCCACCCAUGUUUGUGGCCUGAAAAUCUGGGAAGUGGGUACCCCAAAUCACGUAAUCUGUCUGAAGGACCAAAUCACAAAUGCAGCAAAACUUCUGGGGCUAAAUGUAAUUUUUAGAAAAUGUAGGGUUAAAAUGCAAUUUAAGGAAAGUUUAGGGGUCUAAGUGAAAUUUAAAGAAAGUUUAAGGGUCAAAAUGAAAUUUAGGAAAAGUUUAAGGGUAAAAAUGCAAUUUUUAUUUUUUGAAAAUUUUUUAUUUUUAUUUUUUAAAAAUUUUGAAAAUUAAACAACAAACUCUAGUCGGACAAAAAUUUAGUGUUUACAGUUCCCCUUCUUUGCUCAUCUCUGUGAAACAGGGAUAGUGAAAAGACUUAAAAGCACUAAAUUUUGUUCGAUUGUCCAAUCUUCAUUCUUUAUUGAAAAAUAAAAAAAAUUAAAAAUAGCUCGGGAUGCGACCCGAAGUUCAACUCACCUCUCGAAUUAUGAGUUGAUCUUUUGAAAAAGAAAAAAAUUGAAAAUACCUCAGCGUAUGACCUGAGGCUUAACUCACCUCUCGCAAUAUGAGUUGAUUUUUUUGAAAGACAGAAAUUGAAAAUACCUCAAUGUGUCUUGAGGCUCAACUCAUUUCUCACAAUAUGAGUUGACCUUUUUUAAAAAAAAAAACAGGAAUUGAAAUUACCUCAGCGUGUCCCAAGGCUCAACUCACAUCUCGUAAUAUGAAUUGAUUUUUGAAAAACAUAAAUUGAAAAACGGAAAUCAAAAAUACCUCAACGUGUCCUGAGGCUCAAUUCACCUCUCGCAAUAUGAGUUGAUUUUUGAAAAAUAUAGAUUGGAAAAAACAGAAAUUAAAAAUACCUCAGCGUGUCCUGAUGCUCAACUCACCUCUCGUAAUAUGAGUUGAUUUAAAAACAGUCAUUAAGAACAGAAAUUAAAAAUACCUCAGCAUGUCCUGAGGCUCAACUCACCUCUCGCAAUAUGAGUCGACUUUUUUUUUGACAAACAAUAAUUGAAAAUACCUCGGCGUGCCCCGAGGCUCAACUCACUUCUCGCAAUAUGAGUUGAAUUUUGAAAACAGAAAAAACAUCAAAAUACUAAAUCCUGUCAUCUGGUUGAAUUCAGGUGUCUUUUCCUUUGAUUCAGUACAGCUAUCAUCACACCCUCUUGCUCUAUUGGAGUACCUGUAUAUGUCAUGCAUGAUGUCAUCAUGAUAUGCACAUGUUUAUCUUAAAUGCCUUUAUGCCUACAUGAUUAUGCUAUGCGCCUUAGGCAUGUUUGUCGUAUGUCCUUUUUCGUCACGAUUUUUGAGGGUCUGCAUUCGUUGCUUCGAUUCUCGACCUUCUCUUCAAACCUCGUACUCGUCUCCAAGCUUCACGAGUAAUCAACAUUUCUCAAAUAUCACCUUUUUGCCCCUGGUUGAACUUUGUACUUGCUUUGAGGCUCUUGUACUUAUCAAAUUCUUAUCCGGGUAAUGCUUAGCACUUCUUGUGUUUAGAGUAUGUCAUUUCACUAUUUAUCACGUAAAUGAACCACAUAAUGAGAUGCAUGAAAAUGGUUAGGUAGGGACAAAAGGAUACCUCACAUUUAUUCAUUUCAAAUUUAGCAAACAAAGAAAGUUAAUCAAUGAUAGUAAAAAAAAGUGUCAUAAAGAGAAAGGGGAUCGCAUUUCAACAAAUACAAAUGCUCUAGAUAUUCAACGCAUGAACUCUUCCACGUUCCUCAAUCAAGAAUCUUUUCGAGCAUGGCUUUCUUGCAUAAGAGAUUUCGAGUUUUCAGAAAUGCUUCAAAUACUGUAGUCUCUCUGUUUGACCCACCGUUCAAAAUGCCUUGCUUUUUAAGCCAAUGCUUGCUUCAUUAGAAUGCCCUUUCGGGUUUUCAUCCUAAUCUUUUGUGUUAAUCAAGGCGCCCUUUUCGGGUUUUCACCUUGAUCCCUCUCUCUUUUUCUUUUUUUUUUUAGGCAUAAUACUUCUUCACAGUAUCUGAAUUCACUGGAUUAGGUAACUCCUUCCCAUCCAUUUCAGUGAGAAUCAAAGCUCCGCCCGAGAAUGACUUCUUUACGACGUAUGGUCCUUCCCAAUUUGGUGCCGAUUUUCCUCGUAAGUCAUUCUGUAUUGGGAGAAUCUUUCUCAACACGAGUUCUCCUUUAUGGAAUUCUCUUGGCCGUACCUUCUUGUCAUGAGCAGCGAUCAUUCUCUUUUGGUACAUCUGCCCGUGACAAAUUGCCUUUAAACAUUUUUCUUCGAUGAGGUUUAACUGGUCAUAUCGAGCUCGAACCCAUUCUGCUUCCUCUAAUUUCGACUCCAUUAAGACUCGUAACGAGGGGAUCUCAACUUCGAUGGGUAACACAGCUUCUAUUUCAUAGACCAGAGAGAAAGGAGUUGCUCCCGUAGAUGUUCGUAGAGAUGUGCGAUAUGCAUACAAAGUAAAUGGUAACUUCUCGUGCCAGUCUUUAUACGUCUCGGUCAUUUUCCCAAUAAUCUUCUUAAUAUUCUUGUUGGCUGCUUCAACAGCUCCGUUCAUCUUUGGGCGAUAGGGCGAGGAGUUAUGAUACUUUAUUUGGAAUCGCUCACACACUUCUUUCAUCAUCUUGUUGUUCAAAUUCAAGGCGUUAUCUGAAAUGGUUCUUUCAGGCAAACCAUAUCGACAAAUGAUUUCCUUUUUCAAAAACCUGUAAACUGCAGUCUUCGUCACAUUGGCAAACGAUGUGGCUUCUAUCCAUUUUGUGAAGUAAUCAACAACCACAAAAAUGAAUCGGUGUCCAUUAGAAGCUUUUGGGGAAAUUGGCCCUAUAACAUCCAUGCCCCACAUAGAAAAAGGCCACGGAGAAGUCAUGACGUGAAGGGGCAAAGGGGCUAUAUGAAUUUUAUCACCAUAAAUUUGACAUUUGUGGCAUUUUCGUGUGAAAUUAAUGCAGUUGCUUUCCAUCGUCAGCCAGUAAUAAUCGAGUCUCAUAAUAUUCCUGGCCAUAGUGAAACCAUUGGCAUGUGUCCCGUAAAUUCCCUUAUGGACAUCUUCAAGUAUUUUUCUGGCUUCAAUAGCAUCUAUGCAUCUCAAGAGUACCUGAUCUUUUCCUCUUUUGUACAGGAUGUCCCCAUCAAGAACGAAUCCCGCUGCCAUUCUUCUGAUUGUUCUUUUGUCGUUCUCAUUUGCUUGCUCGAGAUACCUUUGAUUCUUGAUGUAUUCUAAGAUAUCAUGAAACCAUGGCCGUCCAUCUGGCUCUUUUUCAAUGCUGAAACAAUGUAUAGGGACUUCAUAUAUGCUCAUUUGAAGAGGCAUUAUUUCUGUUUCUCUGUUUGCUUUAAACAUUGAAGCUAAAGUGGCCAGGGCAUCAGCUAACUGGUUUUCUUCUCGUGGGAAGUAAUUAAAAGUUAUUUCUUUGAAUUAUUUAAUCAACCCUGCCACGAGAUCACUAUAUUUGACUAAUUUUGAAUCCCUUACUUCCCAAUCUCCACGAAUUUGAUAAAUCACCAAUGUUGAGUCUCCGUAUACCUCUAAAGUUUGGAUGUUUCGUUACAGGCCUCAUAUUCCGCUAUGUUAUUGGUACAGAAGAAAUUCAACCUGGCAGUCAACGGAUAAUGGUUUCCUUCUGGUGAUACUAAGACUGCUCCAAUCCCAUGCCCCAAUGCAUUCGAUGCACCAUCAAAGCUCAUCUUCCAUGACUUUUCUUUUGAUGACUCACAUUCUUUUUCUGUAAGGCACAUCAAGUCUUCAUCUGGGAAAUCAAAUCUCAAUGGCUCGUAUUUCUCCGUUGUUCAAGUUGCUAAGAAGUCAGCGUUGCGCUCCCUUUUAUCGACUUUUGGCUCAUAUAGACGAUAUCAUAUUCUGAUAGUAAGAUCUACCAUCGUGCCAUUCUUCCUGAGAGUGCAGGUGAUUCCAUCAUCUACUUUAUUGGGUCUAACUUUGAAAUUAGCCAUGUCGUAUGAUACAGCAUAUAUUGCCUAAGUCUCUGAGCUACCCAAACCAGAGCGCAACAGUAUUUUUCUAUGGACGAAUACUUUGCCUCAUAUUCAGUGAACUUUUUACUGAGGUAGUAGAUCGCAUUUUCUUUCUUUCCGAACUCGUCAUGUUGCCCCAGUACGCAACCUAUUGAAUUCUCGAACACAGUCAAAUAUAAUAUCAAUGGCCUUCCCGGCAUUGGUGGUACUAGCACUGGAGGACUAGACAAAUACUGUUUUAUCUUGUUAAAAGCCACUUGGCACUCCUUGUUCCAUUCUCCGGGAUUAUGUUUUCGAAGGAUUCGAAAGAUUGGGUCGCAUUGGUUGGUAAGUUGAGCGAUAAAUCGGGCGAUGUAGUUUAAUCUCCCUAAAAAUCCUCUGACUUCCUUUUGCGUGCGCGGAGGUGGUAACUCUUGAAUGGCUUUUAUUUUAUCUGGAUCAACUUCAAUGCCUCUCUCACUAACAAUGAAGCCAAGCAAUUUUCCUGAGGUAGCCCCAAACGUACAUUUGGCCGGAUUGAGCUUUAGCUGGAACUUUCUCAGUCUGUCGAACAACUUCUUCAGGUUCACUACAUGCUCUUCUUCCCCUCAGGAUUUAGCAAUCAUAUCGUCGACAUAGACCUCUAUUUCUUUAUGCAUCAUGUCAUGGAAUAACGUCACCAUAGCCCUCUGAUAUGUUGCCCCAGCAUUCUUUAACCCAAAUGGUAUCACCUUGUAGCAGAAUGUUCCCUACAUUGUUACGAAGGUAGUUUUCUCCAUAUCCUCAGGGGCCAUCUUGAUCUGAUUAUACCCCGAGAAUCCAUCCAUGAAAAAGAAUAAUGAAUGUUUUGCUGUGUUAUCCACCAACGUAUCAAUAUGUGGUAAGGGAAAAUUAUCUUUGGGACUUGCUCGAUUCAGGUUACGAUAAUCCACGCACAUUCGUAUUUUGCCGUCUUUCUUUGGUACCGAAACUAUGUUGGCCACCCACUCUGGAUAUUUGGAGGCUUGUAGGAAGCCAGCAUCAAAUUGCUUCUUGUCUUCCUCUUUUAUUUUCAACAACAUCUCAGGUCUCAUCCGUCUUAGCUUUUGUUGAAUGGGUUUGCAUUCUGGCCUUAAUGGGAGUUUAUGGACCACUAAAUCUUCAUCCAGCCCUGGCAUGUCCUGAUAUGACCAUGCGAAUACAUCUUUGUACUCACAGAGCAAAGCAAUCAAAUUAUGCCUGGUGCCCCCUGAAAUAGAGGUCCCAAUCUUCACUUCUUGCUUCCUUUCUUCAGUUCCCAAGUUUAUUGUUUCAACAUAUUCUUGAUGAGGCAAAAUAUGUUUAUCCUCUUGUUUCACCAUUCUUAGCAAGUCAGGAGACGAGACAUAGUCUUCAGCAUUUUUUCGGCUUCGAAUUCUCCUAAACAAACAGCCUUCUCAAAAUUAAUUUCAGGACUCGUAACGGGUUUGUUCAUGUAAUUGAUAUCUAAGCACCUGAAAGUUGAAUGGAAAAGGAAACUAUAGAGGGGCAUCUAAGUAUUGAAACCAACAAACUGAAUGUUAUGGUAUGGCAUGAGGCAAAUGUAAAGAUAGGCUAUGAAAUGAUUAUGGAAUUAGUGAUAAUGCGAAAAAUUGUGACAAAAUGCAUCUUCAUUUAUAUUCAUUUAAAUGAUAAAGAGCGAAUGCAAGUUCUUACAAAAGAAUUCUAUUAUAUCUAAGGACAUAACAGAAUGUUAACGUUUGAGCAUUACUCUGAAGACUUAUAAACUACAAGAAGAUCAUCGGCAGUCCAAUUGUUCAACAUGAAACCCGGAGGACAAGGGCGUAUCUUUGAGACGUCUUUACUUACGUCAGCUCCUUUGUCAAUGACAUUUAUAAUGAUAUUCUGAAAACCCUCUUCGAUCAUUAACAUUGUGCUUUGUGCACUAUACUGCCCUAGGUAUAUCAUUCCCGUAGACGUAAAUGUUCUUAACAAAGGAGGGAAUUCCAUGGGCUCCCAUUCUGGUUCUCGGCCUAAUGUUCUUCCGAUCCUUCUUUCCUGAUUUUUCUUCCACUGCUUUCUUCUUUGACGCAUGUCCAUCUGGAACCCUAAACCGUAUCGAGCCUUGUGGUGUACUGGGUUUAGAGCCCCGACUAUUCCUUCCAGAUAUCUUCCUAAACCUCUUAUCGCUCGAGCUCCCCUUCCUACAGUCAACUUGACACCCGUUCUAGUAUUUCUAGACAGUUUUGGCACCCGAAUUCUGUUUCCCUCGGUGACAAAAGUGGCAUUGAUGAAUUCAAGGGAUCGAAAGGAGCAUUCCACUGCGUCUUUGCUUACUUUAAGGUAUGGCGCAUCAGCAGAGAUAGAUGCGACAAUGUCUUCUUCUCCCUCGAUAGUGACCAAACAGCCAUCCAUGAUAAAUUUCACCUUUUGAUGGAGGGAUGAUGGGACCACUCCAGUGGAAUGGACCCAGGGUCUUCCCAAAAGGCAGUUAUAUGAGGGUGUAAUAUCCAUGACUUGGAACUUGACAUCAUAUAUGUAGGGACCCACUUCUAGAAGGAUCUCAAUCUUCCCCAUGACUUCACGCCUUGUCCUAUCGAAUGCCCUUACCGUGGAAUGACAGGGCCUUAAAUAAGACAAAUCCAUCAGAAUUCUGGAAAGUGUGGUCAAAGGCAUGACGUUGAGUGCCGACCCAUUAUCGAUGAGCACGUUCGGUAUUAUGUAGCCCUUGCAGCGAGUCGUAAUAUGCAGUGCUUUCACUGAGCCUCUACCAUUGGGUGGUAUUUCAUCAUCACUAAAAGAGAUGAAAUUAUCCGCAUUCAAGUUGUUCAUCCAUCUGUCAAGCUUCUCUACGGAUAUAUUGUUUGCCACAUAAGCUUGAUUUAACACUUUCAGCAAAGCAUUCCGGUGUGGCUCCGAAUUUAAUAGCAGGGAUAAAACUGAGAUUCAUGCUGGUUGCUUAUUCAAUUGUUCCACCAUAUUGUAUUAAUUGUGCUUGAUAAAUUUCAAGAACUCCUGUGCUUCCUCUUCAUCCACAGGCUUUUUAGUCUCUUGCACGGGUGGAAUUUCUUGCUCGACUUCGACCUCAUGCAUCACUCCUUUCCCUUUCUGCUUCCAGUCACUGUUCUUCUUCACUAGUUCGACCUCUUUCGAAUAACAUCUUCCACUUCGGGUAAAAUGACCUACCUCUCCUACAUCUCCAGUUAUGGCUUUGAGUUUUUCAUCUUCAGGUGUAACGAUAUUGACGUCGUAUUUCCAUGGUACGGAUUUGUCAUCUUUGUACGGGAAAGGAGACGGUACUUCGAUUAUCAUUUUUGGUUUCACCGACUCUUUCGUCACGUCGUAAUAAAUUACUAAUGGUCGAUUAGCGCUAUAAGGAGGACCUGAUGAUUGGCUGUCAGAAGCGCAUAUUUCUCUUUCGUUGGCCUCUUCCCUCUUGUUAAGGACCCUGAUUUCCUUAUUAUCCAUCUGGUCUUGAAGAAACCUUUUAAAAUCCUUACAUGACUGAAUGUCAUGUCCUACAAUUCCAUGAAAAUUGCAAAAACUUUGACCUUCUUCUCCAAGAAUUCUAUCGGGGUGACAAAGCAAUCCUUUCUUAACCAGAACCUCCCAGAUUUUUUACAGAGGCGUCCUUAUUUCUGAAACACAUCUUCUGACUUUUCAUUCGUCCUCUUUCCCUACUGUGCUCACAUUUCCUUCGGUAUGGUUAGGGAACGGGUUCCCAGUUGCGUUACUGGCACUAUCGAAUCGUAGGAUACCCGCGUCAAUGAGUCCUUGAACUCUCCUCUUAAAAGCUAGACAAUUCUCCGUGGAAUGCCCCUAGUUCCCCGUGUGGUAUGCACAACUAGCGUUUGGAUCGUACCACUUUGGGUAUGGAGGUUUAAGGGAUGCCAUGUAAUGGGGAGAAAUUAGCUGUUUCUCCAAAAGUUUUGGGUAUAAUUCCCCAUACGAUCAGGGAUGAGAGUAAAUUGCGGUCUCUCGGAAUUAGGCCUUGCUGGUCUUGGUUCAUUUCUGGGCUGGCUUUGAGCGGGUACCGUGUUUUGUGGGAAUGUGGUGACGGGUUUUUGGUUGUUCGUGGCGUAUACGGGGUAGGAAGGAGGUGGUGCUUGGUAGUAAGGGGUUUGAAAGGGAUAAUAGAAAUUUAGAGGAGGAUAAUUUCGAGGUCGGGGUUGGUUUGGAUAUGGAUUAGGGAUAUUACAAUAUCCGCAAAGUCCUUCGUGGCACUUCCCACUAAUUUGUCAUAAAACGGUGCUUUCAAAGUAUUGAUGAAGAGAACGGUUAUCUCCGUUUUUGUUAGUGGGGGUUCCACUUGGGCUGAGACGUCCCUUUAUCUCUGCGCAUGCUGUCUAAAAGUUUCUGACGGCUUUUUCUCCAUCAUUUGCAAAGUCAUCCGGUCUAGCACCAUAUCCGAUACAUACUUGUAUUUCUCACAGAAUGCUGAUGCCAAGUCCUUCCAGGAUCGGAUCUUUUCCCUACUAAACUGGUUAUACCACCGAAGAGCUGAUCUUACUAGACUAUCUUGAAAGCAAUGUAUGAGUAGUUUAUCUUCGUUCACGUAACCCGUCAUUUUUCGGCAAAACAUUACAAGAUGCGCUUUUAGACAUCUUGUCCCAUCGUACUUUUCAAAAUCAGGCACCUUGAACUUCGGAGGCAGAACAAGAUCGGGCACCAAGCUGAGUUCUUUGGCGCUCAAUGCAGAGAAGGCUUCAGUACCUUCUAUCGCCUUGAGCCUUUCUUCCAAGCUCCUAUAUUUGUCCUGAACAUCAUGAUCGUUCAUUUUCAACCUAGCUAUCUCUGUUGGAUCGUCCAAAUCUGGAACGAGUGGAUCAGCAGGACUAGCUCCUGGGUUUGAUACGAAUACUCCUUACCCUAUGUGAGUAGGUGGCACCGCUCGUUGCUCUAGGUCUGUGGGUUCCCCUUGGGUGUACCUUCUUUGUGUUGCGUGGGCAUGCGGCGGAGUGAAUCGUGGGGGAUAGAGCGGAUCUUGACUGUGAUUAACUCUUGACCGAGGUUCCUCGACGUCAGGGCUCUACAUGGGUCCCUUUCCUUUAACUAAAACUGACAUCAUUUCCAUUAUUUUGGCCAUUUGGUCCCUUUAUUCGAGUGAUUCUUCUCGAGAUCUCACCAUUAAAUCUCUUGUCUCUUGCUACGACUUGACCAACUGCUCUUGCAAUUCCCUCUGAAAUCUUUCCAUCCUUUCAAUUCUUUCAUUGAAUUCAGCCUCCAUUGCCCUAGCUUGUCGACGCGUUCUAUAUGAAUGACGUGGUUCCAGUAUCGUGGUAUUACAACUGCGAAUUGUAUGUUUUAACCUCAGCGAACGAUUAUGGGAUAUGCAAUAAUGAAUGAAUGAAUGAAUGCAUAAAUGUCAAAUGAAUGUUAAUCAUGAAAGAAAUGCAAGAAGUUGGUGUUGAUUUCAAGAUAGCCCCUAUUUUAGGCAUUCCAUUCAUCAAAAGAGUUCAUUACAAAAUAUUUUAUCGUUUUCGAUUCAGCUAUUACACAAACUUCCUAGCUAUAUCGCUGUAUUUCUUUACUCGCGCUAAGAACUCUGAUAUAUUUGAUCUUUGACUUGGAGGGAAUUGGCAAAUGAGAAUUUCAGCUUCUUCCGAUAAUUGCACCACGUGCAUGGCUACCCCACGAACUUCAUUGAUCAAAUAGCUAAGUUGCAUUUCUUUUUCUUGGAGUCCCUCUUCGUAAGCACGAACGUCUCUAUCAUACUGACUAUCUUUUUCUUCCAAAGCCUUCAAGAGAGUAUCUAGCUGUUGUUGACGAUCUUGCAGCAUACCUUCUAACUCUCUUAUCCUUUCUUUUAGUUCUUGACGUUUAGAUCGACUAGUCAUUACCUCAGCAGACACAGCUUCAUAUUCGGCGUUCUUCUUCCUCAAUUCUAUCAUAGCCCGCGCAGCAUUUUCUUUCUCUUUCUUCGCUUUUCCUUUCCAAAAUUCCAUCCUGCCUUUAAUGUUGCUUAUCUCUUCUUUCCAUUUUGCCGACGACUUGCCCAGCCCACUAAUUUUUAUUAUGCCUCUUAACUUUUUAUUUUCCAGAUGGAGGUCCCUUAAGUCAUUUUUCACUACUUGAACUUUUUUCCACUUUCUCGGUUCUGGAUCUUUCAAUCUGAUCGUCGAUCUUCAAUUGUAGUUUUCCUCUUGAAGAGCACUAAGGUCCCGAGACAUCUUGGCCUUUUCUCGUUCAAAUUAUUGUCUUGCCAUUUCUAGCUCAGACGGCAUUUCCUCCGAGAAAAGAUUCUGGAUGGUGUAGUUUAUUGACGAGAUUUGCUGACUGUUCACCCGUUGCUUUCUCCAUAUGUCGUAAUCUUAGGUGAGAGUGUCAGCGUAUAAAGCUAAUUCCAUGAGAUGAAUUCUUUUCCAAGACUCAGACUGUGCUAAUCCUCCAGUAGCAGGUAUGAAUUGUCGCGAAGAAAAUUGCCUUUGGACCAUUAACGGAGCAUAUCCAACUCCUCCCCAUAACCCGAGUAGUGGCACCCAAUCUUGAUAUCCGACCUUGUAUAGCAGAAUUGACAGGUGUAUCCACGGGGCUCUCCAAGUUACGUCAUCGGCGCGAAGAUUCUGAAAGACUGAGACCCAGUGUUGUUCAGUGACCUCCUUUGGCCAUUCUUUCUUAAGAUAAGCUUCUAACGGGAAGAAUGUUUUAGAAAACAUAUGGAACGGUGUGCGCUCUACUUUCCAGAAGUGGCUAAGAAUCUAAACAUUAAGUAACUGCGCGUAUUCGAUAAAACGACCUUCCUCUUUCUUCCUACACCUACUUAUGGAUCUGAAGGUUUCGGCCAGGAUAGUUGGGACGGGGUUGAUUCCUUGUUUUAACCUUUCAAAGAAAUCUACCACCGCAACUUCUAUGUGUCCAAGGACCUUCGGGAAGAUGAUCAAACCGUAAAUGGCCAGAGCGAAUAGAUUUACCCUUUUCAACAUGUCGGGAGGGUUCAGAACCAAGUCUCGUAGGGAAGACCAUGGAAUGCAAAUGGUUUCAUUCUUCUUCUUUAUCUAUUUUUCGGCCCACGCGUCAGUCAUGUCUGUCAAUCUCACUAACUUUUUCUUGAAGGUCAUUGGCUUAGGUUCUUUCACAUAUAUCUUAUAAGGUUGUACGUUUUCGACACGAAGCAAAGUAGCAUACUCUUCUAUAGUCGGGGUCAUGUCUUCUUGAUUGAAAGUAAAACAUUGGUAGGCCGGAUCCCAAAAUCUGACCAUGGCUUGGAUCAAUCGUUCGUCUACGUUGACAGUAAUCAAGUUGGCUAUGUCCCCAUAUCUUUCAGUGAAGAUACCCCUAAUGUCCAAGUCCCACUGAUUCCAAACCCGAACCAAAUCUUCAAGGUUAUUCUGGAGAACAUUCACAGUUACGUGCUCGGGCAAAUUGGCAAUACAUCCCUCCACUAGACUAUCCCCUCUUUCUUUCUGAUUCUUUAGGGACCAGUCUCGAGCCGCGGCAUUCCUCUCGGUUGUUUGUAUAAUUGAAUCUUCCAUUAGAAACCCAUUUUUUGGCAACUGAUCUCUAGUCAACACCUUUCUAAUAUAAUGCCUAUAAUGCAUGAUGGAAAAAAAAUAAGGCAAAGACAAACAACCUUGAUUAGUAAUUAAGUAUAGGCAGAAAAACAUGGAAAAUUUAACAAAUCGAACUACCCAAAUCUAAUUUAUUAAACAGACCUAGUCCCAUUGUAUAGAAAGUGAAGAUACAAAAGAUAGGAGGCGUUCCUCCCUUGCACUUAUUUUGGUGACUACUAAACGGACGGAGGUUUGGCAUGGCUCUAGUUAAAUAGCUCGUACAGUUCACUAUAUGCGGUUUUGGUUCUAGAUAGGUACUCGAAUUGUCCGUACUGUCAUCUGCUAAGAUUAGUACGACGCUUCGGUCAUAACCCAUCACAAGCUCACGAGUUUAAUUCAAGGGGUUACAUUUACUUAUGCCUAUGCGGAGGGACAAGUUAACUCACGAAAGCAUAAGUCAUAUGUAACCCGAAAGUAUUCACUAGCUUGUACGGAGGGACGAGUUAACUCACGAAGGCGUAGCGUUUACUUUCACUUAAACGGACGAGGCCUGGGUAGAGAGCUCAUGUUAUGCAAAAUGCAAGUGCACGGUGUGUGGGAUAAACUCACAAACCUUUACGUUUUAUUUAAAAAACUAGACCAAAACUAAAACCAUAAAAAUUUAAAGAUGAAUAACAAUCGGAUAAAACAAGUUGGGAGAAUAUAUACAACACUUCAAAAAACCAAUUUUGGGAUCACGACUAAAUAUUAAUUCGAACAAGGAAUUUUGAAAAUUUUGAUAACACGCGUUUAAGUGACUCGACUCUCAAAAACUGACAUCCCCAGUGGAGUAGCCAGCUAUAGCGACGUAAAAAUUUCUUCUUUUGGUCACUAAUUGAGGCGAUUUAUUGGAAAUUUAAAAACCGACUUUCUAUUUUAUUAAAAAAGAGAGUCGCCACUGAUCCUUUUUCCUAGGUGUGAUCGGACACCUAAUAAAUCCACUUUUUCAAAAGAAAAUUUAUUUUUUAAACAAAAAGAAGGCCGAGUUUAGGUCUACGUUUAAAGCCAGAGAAAAAAUAGGGUUCGGGAGUCGGUUACGCACGAGGAAGGUAUUAGCACCCUCGCGAUGUCCAAAAUUAGUAUCUUAUUAAACUUGUGUUGUCUUGAUUUUCAAAAGUACAAAUUCAAUCUGACAUUUACUCGUGAUCCAAUUGAAAAAUGAGAAUUUUUAGUUUUCGAUUUUUUAGAAAGGGUGUCCCGUUUUUAACACGAGCCAAUGAAUUUCACCCAACAUAGCGAUGAAAUUGAUGGCUUAAUGUUAAAUCGGUACAUUGCUUUAUUUUUAAAAUUAAUUAAAACAUGAGAAAAAAAUAUUCCUAAAGUGAGAAAUUAAAAAUAGAUAAACGAUACAAAAAAAAAGAUAUCAUUAAUGAAAAAUAUUAACAUGGAAUACUAGAAUAUUAGAAUAACAAUAAUAACGAUAUUUACAAAAAAAAAACAAAUCAUGUACUAAUAAUAAAAUAGGAAAAAAUGAUAUAUUUGGUAAUAAUAAUAUAAAAUAAAAAUAUGUACAUAAAAAAUACAUAUAUAUAUAUGCAUAUAAUAAAUAUAUGUAAUAAUAAUAUCUACAAUAAAAGAAAAUAUUAGGAAACAUACAUAAAAAUAUAUACAUAAAAUUUUUUUUACAACAAUAAUAUAAAAUAAUGAUAUGUACAAAAUAUAUAUAUGUACAUAAUAUAGUUAUAAAAAUAUAUAUAUUAAAUUCGGAAUAGGUAAAUAAUAAUAAUAAGGGAAAGAAUAUACCGAAGCCCCAAUGUUAUGGAUUACUGAAAUUAAUCUCUUUUCUUCUCGGACUGUUGAAAUGGGCCUUUGUUGGUGAUCUUCACCGGAUCAAAUUGCCGCAAAUAGAGUCAGGUUGACCCGACCAUUUUAAAAUUUAAUAUUUUUUAUUAUUGUAAUUUUUUUAGACCAAUUUUUGUUUAGCCCAAUUACAAAUAAAAUCUACAUAAAAGAUACAAAAUCCAAAUUACUUCAACCCAACACAAACCAACCUCAGCCCACUAACUUAAUAAUCCAACACAACCAACCCAACCCACUAACUUAACAUAUCACCCAACCCACUAAUUAACCCAAACUAAAUUUAACCCAUCAAACCUUACAUAAACAAACCCAUUAACUAAAAUAUUUCUUUUUUUUUAAUACUAACCCCCCCAAAAAAAAACAAACAAGUUCCAGCAGCAAACAAAGAAAAUCCAAACUUCAAGCUGCCUAUUCUCCCUCUCCUUCCACCGUGCGUGUCACCAGCAGCCACCGUAUGUACCACAUGAAAUCAGGCUACGGGUAGUUGAGGUUUGGGUUUUGGAGUGGCUGAUAAUCGAUUGGCUCGGGUAUUUAGAGUGGGUUUCGGUUUGGGAGCUUGGUUGUGGUGUUAAUGGUGGUUAGUCUUUGGUUGCUUGGUUGCUUGCCAGAUAUUGGAGUUUUUUCUUGCUUAGAUUGCUGAAUGUUCCUUUUUUGUUGUUUUUUUUUUUGCUGGAAAAUUUUUUUGCUGAAUUUUUUUUUUUGCUCUUUUUUCUCAAAUGGGAGAAUCCUCCUCUUUUUUGUGUGGUUUUUUUUUUAUUUCUCCCAUUUUGCUUGUUUUUAUGCUAUUUGCAGGUAGUGGGUGAAGAAGGAGCAGCCACCCAUGUUUGUGGCCUGAAAAUCUGGGAAGUGGGUACCCUAAAUCACGUAAUCUGUCUGAAGGACCAAAUCACAAAUGCAGCAAAACUUCUGGGGCUAAAUGUAUUUUUAGAAAAUUUAAGGUUAAAAUGCAAUUUAAGGAAAGUUUAGGGGUCUAAGUAAAAUUUAA